RNAcentral lists this ribosomal RNA (372 nucleotides) under uncultured organism. RNAcentral describes it as "partial 16S ribosomal RNA". It matches the Rfam family "Bacterial small subunit ribosomal RNA", at positions 527 to 896 of the family's 1533-position model. The record is from RNAcentral.
GUAGGUGGCAAGCGUUGUCCGGAAUUAUUGGGCGUAAAGCGCGCGCAGGCGGUUCUUUAAGUCUGAUGUGAAAGCCCACGGCUCAACCGUGGGAGGGGUCAUUGGAAACUGGAGAACUUGAGUACAGAAGAGGAAAGCGGAAUUCCACGUGUAGCGGUGAAAUGCGUAGAGAUGUGGAGGAACACCAGUGGCGAAGGCGGCUUUUCUGGUCUGUAACUGACGCUGAGGCGCGAAAGCGUGGGGAGCAAACAGGGAUUAGAUACCCUGGUAGUCCACGCCGUAAACGAUGAGUGCUAAUGUUAGGGGGUUUCCGCCCCCUUAGUGCUGCAGCUAACGCAUUAAGCACUCGCCUGGGGAUACGGCGCAAGGCUG